Pygocentrus nattereri (red-bellied piranha) is the source of this 602-nucleotide non-coding RNA. The record is from the annotation of a RefSeq genome assembly. Lineage: Eukaryota; Metazoa; Chordata; Actinopteri; Characiformes; Serrasalmidae.
CUCCUCGUUAUCUGAACACUGGAACCACCAUGAUGUUUCUGUGCUCUCUGGCUGUCUUUAUGAUCAUGAUAGGGAACUGUGUUUCACAGUCAAUAGCACCACUGAAAAACACAAUCCAUGCUGUUGAAGAUCAGACACUUACUCUCUCCUGCAAGUAUAAUGGUAGUGUGAAUAAUCUGCAGUGGUAUCGUCAGUAUCCUGGAUCCAGACCAGUGUAUUUACUGAUGACAUUUCCAGGAUCACCAACUGUGAGCCAUGCAACUCCACGUUUUCCAAGACUGGAUGCUAAAGAAAAGAACAAAACACUGGAUCUGAUCAUCUCCUCUGCUGAAGUAUCAGACUCUGCACUCUACUACUGUGCCAUGAAGCCCACAGUGACAGGAAACCCAGAGAGCUGUGUUUCACAGUCAACAGCACCACUGGACAGCAAAGUCCUGGUUCAGAUGAGACAGUUACUCUCUCCUGCAAGUAUGAAUCUAGAGGUACUCCAAGUAUUCUGCAGUGGUAUCGUCAGUAUCCUGGAACCAGACCAGAGAAUUUACUGAUGAUAUAUCCAGGAUCAAAUCUGGUGAGCUUUGCAACUCCACCUUUUCCAUGACUGA